GCAUACUUGUGCGCCUUGUGCGCAUGAAAGCAGUAAUGCGCUUCGGGGAGGGGCCUGCGUCCCAUUAGCUAGUUGGUAGGGUAAAGCCUACCAAGGCGACGAUGGGUAGCUGGAUCGAGAGGUUGACCAGCCACACUGGGACUGAGAUACGGCCCAGACUCCGUACGGGAGGCAGCAGUAAGGAUCUUCCACAUGGACGAAAGUCUGAUGGAGCAACACCGCGUGCAGGAUGACGGCCUUAGGGUUGUAAACUGCUUUUAUAGAUGAAGAUUAUGACGGUAAUCUAUGAAUAAGGACCGGCUAACUACGUG
Molecule: ribosomal RNA, 311 nt
Filed under: uncultured bacterium
Lineage: Bacteria
Description: bacterial SSU rRNA
Rfam family: Bacterial small subunit ribosomal RNA
Source: RNAcentral